UAAUACGAGGGGAGCAAGCGUUGUCCGGAUUUAUUGGGCGUAAAGGGCGUGUAGGUGGAUUGAUAAGUCAGGUUUUAAAUAGUACGGCUCAACCGUAUCAAUGGGUCUGAUACUGUCAGUCAUGAGUUCGAGAGAGGGAAGCGGAAUUCCUGGUGUAGCGGUGAAAUGCCAUGAUAUCAGGAGGAACACCGGUGGCGAAGGCGGCUUCCUGGCUCGUAACUGACAUUGAGGCGCGGAAGCGUGGGUAGCAAACAGGAUUAGAUACCCUGGUAGUCCACGCCGUAAACGAUGGAUACUAGCCGUCGGGAGAUUUUCGACCCUUUCGGUGGCGAAGCUAACGCAUUAAGUAUCCCGCCUGGGGAGUACGAUCGCAAGAUUG
This 379-nucleotide ribosomal RNA is filed under the name uncultured bacterium. Its description in RNAcentral is "bacterial SSU rRNA". It matches the Rfam family "Bacterial small subunit ribosomal RNA", at positions 521 to 896 of the family's 1533-position model. The record is from RNAcentral.